RNAcentral lists this ribosomal RNA (371 nucleotides) under uncultured bacterium. Its description in RNAcentral is "bacterial SSU rRNA". It matches the Rfam family "Bacterial small subunit ribosomal RNA", at positions 527 to 896 of the family's 1533-position model. The record is from RNAcentral.
GAAGGGUGCAAGCGUUACUCGGAAUUACUGGGCGUAAAGCGUGCGUAGGUGGUGAGUUAAGUCUGAUGUGAAAUCCCCGGGCUCAACCUGGGAAUGGCAUUGGAUACUGGCUCGCUAGAGUGCGGUAGAGGGUGGUGGAAUUCCCGGUGUAGCAGUGAAAUGCGUAGAGAUCGGGAGGAACAUCUGUGGCGAAGGCGGCCACCUGGACCAACACUGACACUGAGGCACGAAAGCGUGGGGAGCAAACAGGAUUAGAUACCCUGGUAGUCCACGCCCUAAACGAUGCGAACUGGAUGUUGGGUGCAACUUGGCACUCAGUAUCGAAGCUAACGCGUUAAGUUCGCCGCCUGGGGAGUACGGUCGCAAGACUG